UACGUAGGGGGCGAGCGUUGUCCGGAGUUACUGGGCGUAAAGGGCAUGCAGGCGGUCCGACACGUUUUGUGUGACAGCGGGUGGCUUAACUACCCGAGGAUACGAAAGACGGUUGGACUUGAGGACUCGAGAGGGACACGGAAUUCCGGGUGGAGUGGUGAAAUGCGUAGAGAUCCGGAGGAACACCGAAGGCGAAGGCAGUGUCCUGGCGAGUGACUGACGCUGAGGUGCGAAAGCCAGGGGGGCGAACGGG
RNAcentral lists this ribosomal RNA (253 nucleotides) under uncultured bacterium. RNAcentral describes it as "partial 16S ribosomal RNA". It matches the Rfam family "Bacterial small subunit ribosomal RNA", at positions 524 to 776 of the family's 1533-position model. The record is from RNAcentral.